This 351-nucleotide long non-coding RNA is filed under the name Phoenix dactylifera (date palm). Its description in RNAcentral is "long non-coding RNA (PDAC_LNC003437)". The record is from RNAcentral. Lineage: Eukaryota; Viridiplantae; Streptophyta; Magnoliopsida; Arecales; Arecaceae.
CCAGAACUCAAGAAUGUUAUGUCCAAUCUGGUGAAUGGGGUGAACAAUCUGAGCAAAAAGUUGGAUGCUUUUACUGUUUCCACUAACUUUAACUCACACAAAGAGUCAAAUCCCAUCAUGAAAGUGGAACACGAGCCACAGGGCUUAUGUAUCUUGUGUAACAGUUCUGAGCAUCUAGUGGAGUGUUGUCCUAGUUUAUCCAACAUUAAGGCUGAGCAGGCAAAUGCUCUUAAUUCAUAUAAUGCCUUUAAGAAACCCACUCCCAAUUCAUUCAGCUCAGUCUACCACCCUGAUAAUAGGUUUCAUCCAAAUUUCUCAUACAAGCAAAAUGAACCUAUUCAGCAUCAAGGU